Nilaparvata lugens (brown planthopper) is the source of this 4673-nucleotide RNA transcript. RefSeq lists it as uncharacterized. NCBI's taxonomy places the organism in Eukaryota, Metazoa, Arthropoda, Insecta, Hemiptera, Delphacidae. The record is from RefSeq and is a predicted model, not a curated record. The transcript is spliced from 5 exons.
AAUCAAUACACCAGUGGACAGCUGACAGUAAACGCAGACGACAAAAAUCUAGGUUAUGUAAUCAAAACUCCACUAUUAUGAAUUUUUUAAUUUUUCUUGAAAACAUUUUAAUAAUUUCUUCCGUCAACUAAUGUUGCUUAAGGGAUGAACAAUGACCCACAAUGAACGACCGACGAGAUAGCACAAAAUGCCCCAACCCCCACCGCAUUUCAGUCACCAACCUCCAUAAAGAAGAAACACUCACCUUCUCACUUGCACUCCUCAAAGGCGAAAUCACCCUUCCCACAAACGACCCAACUUUCUGCAAAAACUACCUCACACUCUACAACCUGACCACGAAAACCGCAACCAACUGGCCAAUACUCAAAUCUAAAUUCAAGUGUUUGGUUGAUUUAGAACGUGGGGAGAAUAGGAUUGUGAUAAAAUACUGUACGAGUUGUAAAAGGAUUGUUUUGAAUUAUACUCCACGGGAUACGGAUCACUUCGUAACACCGGUGUACAUUAUUUGUAGGAACCAUGGAGGGGAGUUUCAGGCACCUAGCGGGUGUGAUAACUCGAUUACUAGUGCGUGUAGUAGAGUAGUAUUAGGCUCAAAGUUGAUACAGUGUCUAAUCGCUGAAAAACUGUUCGAAAAUGGGUUUGGAAGGAAGACGUUCCAAAUCGAAGCCGAUGUUAUCGAAGAAAUCCCGUACUGUGUCCAGUUUCACAGUAACCUCCCAGUGGAGGAGGCCAGAAAGAUGGACCAGGAAGCGCUGUGGAUCUACUUUGGGCGCGAGAUUAUGAAGUCAAAGAUCUCGAGCACGAAGCGGAAGUUUCUGGCGUUCUUGUCAGCCACCUGGUGGGAGGGAGGUGGAGUCCAGGCGCAUGCCGCCCUAGGUGGCGGUGGGCUGGCGCUGUUUGGGACAGGGUGUCUGCACACGUGGCCCACACGUGUUGAGGAUGUCUUCACGUGUUUUCUGGAUCCGACGCCUGUUGACACCAGCCGGAUUAUGGAUGAUAGCUGUUUCAGAGGCACAUACGGCGGCUGCUUCAGCACGACCCUGGGCUCCGUGUGCCAUGAGCUGGGUCACACGUUCGACCUGGGCCACUCACGUGACGGCAUCAUGGGUCGCGGUUUCGACAACAUCGACAUGGUAUUUUUGCCGCUGGCGCAUGCGCACACUGACAGCAUCCACUUCGCCACCGUCCAGCUGAUCAGUCGGCUCAAGGUCGAGUGUUUUGUGACGUCAUUGAGUCGGUUCAAUUCGCCCCUCAGGAAGUCGGGGAGGAAUAGUUCGCCUAACAGUGCUAAAAUUAGUGAAGAUAGGUCAAAUAAUAGCAGUGGGAUUGGUGGGGAUAGGUUGACUAACAUAACUGAAAUUGGUGAUAGAAGUUCGCCUAAUAGCGCUGAAAUUAGUGAAGAUAGGUCAAAUUAUAGUAAUGGAUUUAGAGAUGGAUGUUCUCCCAAUAGUUCUGGGAUUAGUGAUGAUAGGUCACCUGAAAACACUGAUUUCAAUUAUAAUAGUUCAAGUGAGAGUAAUGGAUUUAUUAAUGGAAGUAGUGGGGAUAAGUCGCUUAAUAAUUCAGAAGUUGGUUAUAGAAGUUCGCUUAAUAGCGCCGAAAUUAGUGAUGAUAGGUCAAAUAAUAGUAGCGGAUUUAGUGAUGGAUGUUCGCCCAAUAGCGAGGUUAGUGGGGACAGGUUGUCCAAUAGCACUGAAAUUGGUGAAAUUACUCUGAAUAGUUUACAUGAUAACACUAAACUCGGUGAUGCGAUAGGUGAUACCUUGAACAGUUCCAUGGAUACUAGAAUUAGUUUUCCUUUUGAUAGUUCAUCUAUGGGUACUGAAAUUUAUGGGAGGACCUUGAGUAGUAACUCGCAUGAUGAUUCUAGUACUCCAGUCAUUGAUGAUGAUAAUAAUCCGAUCAUUGAUGAUGGUUAUUCUACUGGUAACAAUAAUUAUGAAAGUUCUCCUUCUAGAGAUAUAACCAAUAUCAAUUUGAAUACCUUUUGUAACAUGAGUAAUAACACGAAUCAAGCUUCUACUAAUUAUUUGAAUAACAGUUACAGUAGUUCAAAUAACGCACCUGAUAACAAUUCGAAUACCUCCACUUUUAUAAGUGAUGACUUGGAGAAUCUUAAUGAGAACUCAAAUUCUUAUUCUAAAUCUACCUGUGUGUAUAAUAAUAACUCAAACUCUACCUCCACCAACACCAGUAAUAAUUUGGAUACUAACACUUGUAACAACUUGAAAACCUGUGUAAACUACUCAAAUCACCCGUCCAACUGUAGAAACUCAUAUCACAACUCUGAAGCAAAUACUCCUAAAGAGGAUAACAAUUGUGAAGCCCGUUUGAGUUCCUCACCUAGUAAAAUAAGUUACCAUUCAAAUACUAGUAUUAGCACAAGUAUUCACUUAAAAACUAGUAUCAAUAACCCAAAUCAAACUUCUAACUUGAGAAAUUCAAAUGUAAACUCUCCAAGUAAAUCAAAUCAUACAUCCAAACGUAGAAAUUCAGAUAACAACAACCUUAACUCUCAAAAUAACUCUCCAAUGAAGUCAAAUCACACAAACAGAGGCAGAAAUUACUAUUUUAAUUCAGAGACUUCAAGUAAUAACAACUCAAUCUCUCAGAAUAGCUCUCCAAUGAAGUCAAAUCUUACUUCUAAAGGUGGUAACUCAACUAACUCAACCCCUCAAUCGAGUUCCCCUAGGAAAUCAACUACAAAUCUUAAUUCUAGUUGCAGUAAUUCAACUAUCUCAACGCCUCAAACAAGUUCUCCAUGGAAAUCAACUACAAAUUUUAAUUCUAGUUGCAGUAAUUCAACUAUAUCAACGCCUCAAUCAAGUUCUCCAUGGAAAUCAGCUUCAAGUAUUAACCCUAGUAGCAGUAAUUCAACUAUUUCAACGCCUCAAUCUAGUUCCCCAAGGAAAUCAACUACAAAUCUCAAUUCUAGUUGCAGUAAUUCAACUACCUCAACGCCUCAAUCCAGUUCCCCAAGGAAAUCAACUACAAAUCUUUAUUCUAGUUGUUGUAAUUCAACGUCUCAAUCUAGUUCCCCAUGGAAAUCAACCUCAAGUAUUACCCCCAGUUGCAGUAAUUCAACUAGUUCCCCUAGAAAAUCAACUACAAAUCUCAAUUCUAGUUGCAGUAAUUCAACUACUUCAACCCCUCGAUCGAAUUCCCCUAGGAAAUCAGUGCAUUCUCCCAAUAGACCUAUGGCGUCACCUAGCCAACUGUCAUCGACCAAUAGGAGCAAGCGUAGCAACAGCAAGGUGUUGGUGGUGCAGCAGCAGAUCAAAAACAAGGACGGGGAUUGGCUGACGGGUGGAGUGGAUGAUCGCACCUAUUGGACCGCUAGCUGUGCCACAUUGCUGGCCUAUCACAAGUGGUUCAACUGUGCCAAUCAUAGCCAAUCACGGGUCGAGCUCAAGUUCAACGCUGUUAGAGGCCUGGUGACGUCAUCUGUUGGCCUGCGGGUAGUGGAGCUUCGAGGCGUGGACAGCCUGGUGCUUCACUCGUGGCAGUUCGGUCAAACUCGGCGACCCAAGACUCAGCUGGUCGUGCCCAAGCAGAUUUCUGCGCGUGCGCUGCUCAUUGUCAUCGAAGACGACCACGGAAACAUUAUCAAGCAGGAUCUGACAACUGGUAACAACAACAACUGCUAGUUGCAGGACCUGACAACAACCAGGUUGAGUAACACCAACUGCUAAUUUACCUGACAACAACCAGGUUGAGUAACAACAACUGCUAAUUUACCUGAUAACAACCAGGUUGAGUAACAACAACUGCUAAUUUACCUGACAACAACCAGGUUGAGUAACAACUGCUUAUUUACCUGACAACAACCAGGUUGAGUAACAACAACUGCUAAUUUACCUGACAACAACCAGGUUGAGUAACAACAACUGCUAAUUUACCUGACAACAACCAGGUUGAGUAACAACAACUACUAAUUUACCUGAUAACAACCAGGUUGAGUAACAACAACUGCUAAUUUACCUGACAACAACCAGGUUGAGUAACAACUGCUUAUUUAUCUGACAACAACCAGGUUGAGUAACAACAACUGCUAAUUUACCUGACAACAACCAGGUUGAGUAACAACAACUGCUAAUUUACCUGACAACAACCAGGUUGAGUAACAACAACUGUUAAUUUACCUGACAACAACAAUCGCUGUCAGGGGGUAGACAGGAGUUGAGGAUAAGAAGUUCAACAACAUCAACCAGGACCUGACAACAACUGGAACUGUGAGCAACAACAGUUGUUGAAAGGAGUAGCGGUUAGGAUCUGCAACAUCAUUAAACAGGAUCUGAUACACUACCUCCGUAAACAAAGCCGUAGUGCAUUCGUGUGACGUCAGCACAGGUAGGGCUCCUACACCAAUAAAAACACUAGCUGAUAUAGAUUAGCUGAAAUCAACUAAUUUUUAUUGGUGUAGGAGCCAUACCUGUGCUGACGUCACACGAAUGCACUACGGCUUUGUCUACGGAGAUAGUGUCUGACACUGACUGGUUUGGUUUACAACAUUAGUUGACAUGAUUGGAAGAUGAGGGUGGCCACUAGCGACAGGAUAACUCAAAGACCUUAAAGAUGCAUAGACUCACAUGCAGCGCUAGUGUCAUACUUGGAAUUGAAAUCAGCCAUUGAGGGGGCAACCUAUAACAUUAUUACAUACCAAUGUCUUUGUA